GACGAACGCUGGCGGCGUGCCUAACACAUGCAAGUCGAGCGAAUGAAGUUCCUUCGGGAAUGGAUUUAGCGGCGGACGGGUGAGUAACACGUGGGCAACCUGCCUCCUUGAGGGGAAUAGCCUUCCGAAAGGGAGAUUAAUACCGCAUAAGAUUGUAGUAUCGCAUGAUACAGCAAUUAAAGGAGCAAUCCGCUAUGAGAUGGGACCGCGGCGCAUUAGCUAGUUGGUGAGGUAAUGGCUCACCAAGGCGACGAUGCGUAGCCGACCUGAGAGGGUGAUCGGCCACAUUGGGACUGAGACGCGGUCGAGACUCCUACGGGAGGCAGCAGUGGGGAAUAUUGCACAAUGGGGGAAACCCUGAUGCAGCAACGCCGCGUGAGUGAUGACGGCCUUCGGGUUGUAAAGCUCUGUCUUCAGGGACGAUAAUGACGGUACCUGAGGAGGAAGCCACGGCUAACUACGUG
Molecule: ribosomal RNA, 464 nt
Filed under: uncultured bacterium
Lineage: Bacteria
Description: partial 16S ribosomal RNA
Rfam family: Bacterial small subunit ribosomal RNA
Source: RNAcentral